UUUGGAUGCAUCAGAUGAUUGGACCUU
This 27-nucleotide non-coding RNA is filed under the name Rattus norvegicus (Norway rat). Lineage: Eukaryota; Metazoa; Chordata; Mammalia; Rodentia; Muridae. The record is from RNAcentral.